RNAcentral lists this ribosomal RNA (253 nucleotides) under uncultured bacterium. RNAcentral describes it as "partial 16S ribosomal RNA". It matches the Rfam family "Bacterial small subunit ribosomal RNA", at positions 524 to 776 of the family's 1533-position model. The record is from RNAcentral.
UACGUAGGGGGCUAGCGUUGUCCGGAAUCAUUGGGCGUAAAGCGCGUGUAGGCGGUCCGGUAAGUCCGCUGUGAAAGUCGAGGGCUCAACCCUCGAAUGCCGGUGGAUACUGUCGGGCUAGAGUACGGAAGAGGCGAGUGGAAUUCCUGGUGUAGCGGUGAAAUGCGCAGAUAUCAGGAGGAACACCGGUGGCGAAGGCGGGUCUCUGGGCCGAUACUGACGCUGAGGAGCGAAAGCGUGGGGAGCGAACAGG